Molecule: long non-coding RNA, 929 nt
Organism: Cucumis melo (muskmelon)
Lineage: Eukaryota; Viridiplantae; Streptophyta; Magnoliopsida; Cucurbitales; Cucurbitaceae
Exons: 4
Source: RefSeq, a predicted model, not a curated record
AUUCUUUCGAUCGCUUUCUACUGCUUUUUUUUCGUUAAGUUGAAAGCUCCAAAUGGAUCGGAUUAUAAAUAAAAGUUGGUUCUUAUUGGUUCAACCAGAAGGCCAGUAAGGAGAUCGACUCCAUCGGCGAUGAAUGCCACUUCACUCUCUCCUCAUUUCCCCCACUUUUUCUUUUCCUUUAUUAAUUGUUGUAUGAUUUCGUUUGCAUUUUCCUUUGUUGUUUUAAUUCAUUGUUUUGUUUUUUUUAAUGUUACAAUUAGGGCUUUUAUGAUGUCGACGUUGAGUUCACCAACUUUUGAUAUUAAUUUGCUUCCCUUAAUUAACAUCUAGAACUUUAAUUUUAUAAUGAUUUUUUGUACUGAUUUUUGUUCUUGUUUGUAUUUUGGAGAAGAGAUUUUGUUCAAUAAUCUAGGAUUGACAAAUUGAACUCCAUAGUUUUGACACUUUCUAACUGGAUUAUCGUGUUGAUGAGUCUACUUAGUCGGAUUUUCAUCUUGGCUGGCUGAGCGAGCGCACCAGCUUUCUCAAUUCUGUUCAGACAUUUGCUAUGUGUCAUUAAGCGUCUAGGUUAGCUCAAGAACCCCAUUUAUUGGAAGGACAAUUUUGUCUUACUAGUUAUUUGGAAAGCAGAAAAUUCAUUAUGAUGGUGGAUUCCACUUAUUGCAUUGGUAAAAUGUAUCAGUCCUACGAAGAGACAAAUUUAUGAAGAAUUGUGAAAGAUGUUCCACGUGAUGUGCAUAUCAAUUUCUUGAAAGUUGAAAGAAGCUUGCAUCAUCGGAGAAUUCAUGCUACAGAGGAACUGGCUGUUGAAGAGGGAGGUGGGGUUGAAAUGCACGUUCUUGAGGAUGUCGGUCAUUGGUGCAUGCUGAUAACCCAUAUGGUCUCUUUCGGAUCUUGUCAUCCUCUUUCAAAGGGAUUAGAACUUGAGG